Molecule: long non-coding RNA, 2172 nt
Organism: Mauremys mutica (yellowpond turtle)
Lineage: Eukaryota; Metazoa; Chordata; Testudines; Geoemydidae
Exons: 4
Source: RefSeq, a predicted model, not a curated record
AAACCAAAGAAUAAUGAGCUGGGAGAGAUUGUCUAGCACUGUGCCGGCUCUGCGUGCCCGCUCUUGUUUGUAGCCUGUAUUAAUGAGAAGAAGCCACUGGUGCUACAGGCAGUGUGGAUUCUGAACUGUCUGGUAGCUGCUCAGCUUCUGUCAGCCAGGAUCAAAGCCAGGGGGUGCAAAAGGGAAUGGAAGAUUCAGAUUUCCCUCUCCCCCACUGCUCAUUCCAGCUUGAGGUGGACAGUUGAAUAAGUAGCUACAGCCUCCAUUGUAGAAGAUUGAGAGUAAGGAUCCAGACCAUUUUAGCUCGAGUCAAAGCACUUCUUUAAACCAACAAUGCAAGAGUGGAGCUGACUGGGAAUUUGUCGACAAAACUUUUGUUGGAAAAUGCCAAUUAGUUGAAACCGAAACUUCCUGGGAGGGGGCCAAUUUCGACAAAUUUUGCACUUCGAACAGAAUUUGAUUUAUUUUCCGAAGGGAUGUGGAUGUAAUGAGCAGGGUGUGGUUCACAAUUCAGCCUACUGCUAUUCUUGAGACAGAGCCGGGGGUCACCAACGCCAAAUGAACUUGGAGAAGAUUUUAUGGGUUCCACUCUGGUAGUCACAAUGGUGUGGAAUUAGAACAGAAAUAAGAUUCUGGAAGUAGGACCUUCAAUUAUUAUAGAAAACGGGCCCAAUUCUGGAAAACGCUCCCUCUAUAUUUGCACCGAUGGAGAGUUUUGGGCCCUUUAUUGACGCCACUGUUGCCCUGACAGGUGAAGUGACUUUGUAAGAGGAGCCACGUGCCGGCUGUGGCCUGACUGCCCUGAGCUGAAAACACUGUGCGGUUGAACAUCGCCCCUUGUAUUCAAGCCUGAUUCAGGAAACGCACACGUGGAUUGGCCAUCAAACCAAGAAACCUAGUUGUGAGAUUUCUGUGACAGGGCCAGAAAACUCUGCAGUCUCUCCCACUUUCCUUUGGGACCUAACGCCUGAUGACAGUAAACCAGAUUCGACAAAAGGUUCAGCAAAGGAUCCCCCUGCCACCUGCUCUAAGGUGGGGUAAGUGGGUGUACAGCACCCUGUGCAGUGAACCCAACGUCCAGGGGCACUGGGCUGAGCGCCAGCGAGAGACAGAAUCAACCAAGCUGAUUUCCAGAGGAAGAUCAUGGCUGCACAAGUCAAUGGGAAAACAUCUGAACUCUACAGACGAUUGAUUAUGGGAUGUGUGUGAGCUUAACAAAAGCAUAUGACAAAGGAAUUCCUGUCCUAUUUGGACAGAUGUAGAUGGCUGGAAUUAAUACCUGCCUGGAAUUAUCACAGGAUUUUAUGAAGACUGCAAGUAUUUUGUAAAAGCCAAGGGAGAAUUGUUGGAGUGACUCUGUGUCAAAAUAAGUCUUUGUCGGAGAUAUACUCUGUCUCGCUGGUUAUUUAACAUCGCUCCAGAAGCUAUAGAGAAUUUGAAUAUGAUAAGGUUGUCCUUUAACCAGCAUUUUGAAAGAGCAAGUCUUCCAACGAUGUAACCAUUAUUUAUUAAUCCAAAGCCCCAAAAAGAAAGGAAAAUGAAAGAGAUGGAAAUUAGACAGCAGAAAAAUCUGAUCACACGUAUGCAACUCAAUAAAGACGCAGACUCUGAUUCUGGGUUCACACUGGUCAUUCACGAGUAGCUCUGCUGAGGGCAAUGGAGUUAUAAUAGGAUCAAAAGCAGACCUGCCAUUGCUAGACCUGCAAAGUGAUACGAGAAGUGGAUGGACCCGAGUUCAUGGAAUCCCUAUUUUAACUCUAGAAAUGGGUGAGAGAGGAGGUGAUACUGUAUGACAAUGCAAUAGAGUAAAAUGAAGCAACUCCAUAAUUAGGCAUUUUUAAGACUGGUGAAAACAGAACUGCCGUAAAAAUUAUGAAAGCAAGAGAUUCUAGUAUAUGAGUCUCUGGAAGCCUGAGAAAUGGGUGAAUAAGAAAGAAAGGAAUUUAUAGGGAAAGACAAAAAAGCACUCGUUAGUGGAUGUUGUAAGGCUAAUCAGAGACAGCUUUCAGCUCUUCAUAUCGCGUCACUCAAAUAGGGACAGCACAAGGCCCAAAGCAAGGCAAAGAAAGACACAAAUGAAAUUUGUAGGGACUGAAUCCACAAGAAGCGACACUGACAAAACCAUAUGUGAGUUGGCUCAUUGACUGCAGUGGGGAUUGGGCCCUGUGCUGU